Molecule: non-coding RNA, 29 nt
Filed under: Mus musculus (house mouse)
Lineage: Eukaryota; Metazoa; Chordata; Mammalia; Rodentia; Muridae
Source: RNAcentral
UCAGAAACGACCCUGGCCAAUGUCACCGC